AUACGGAGGAUGCAAGCGUUAUCCGGAUUUAUUGGGUUUAAAGGGUGCGUAGGCUGACGUGUAAGUCAGAGGUGAAAUGUCCGGGCUCAACCUGGGAACUGCCUUUGAUACUGCAUGUCUGGAGUUCGGAUGCCGUGGGAGGAAUGGGCAGUGUAGCGGUGAAAUGCAUAGAUAUUGCCCAGAACACCGAUUGCGAAGGCAUCUCACGAAUCCGACACUGACGCUGAGGCACGAAAGCGUGGGGAUCAAACAGGAUUAGAUACCCUGGUAGUCCACGCAGUAAACGAUGAUAACUAACCGUCGGCGAUAGACAGUCGGUGGCCAAGCGAAAGCGAUAAGUUAUCCACCUGGGGAGUACGUUCGCAAGAAUGAAACUCAAAUGAAUUGACGGGG
This 393-nucleotide ribosomal RNA is filed under the name uncultured bacterium. RNAcentral describes it as "partial 16S ribosomal RNA". It matches the Rfam family "Bacterial small subunit ribosomal RNA", at positions 523 to 918 of the family's 1533-position model. The record is from RNAcentral.